RNAcentral lists this ribosomal RNA (497 nucleotides) under uncultured bacterium. RNAcentral describes it as "partial 16S ribosomal RNA". It matches the Rfam family "Bacterial small subunit ribosomal RNA", at positions 28 to 507 of the family's 1533-position model. The record is from RNAcentral.
GAUGAACGCUGGCGGCUUGCCUAAUACAUGCAAUUCGAGCGAACAGACGAGGAGCUUGCUCCUCUGACGUUAGCGGCGGACGGGUGAGUAACACGUGGAUAACCUACCUAUAAGACUGGGAUAACUUCGGGAAACCGGAGCUAAUACCGGAUAAUAUAUUGAACCGCAUGGUUCAAUAGUGAAAGCCGGUUUUGCUGUCACUUAUAGAUGUAUCCGCGCCGCAUUAGCUAGUUGGUAAGGUAACGGCUUACCAAGGCAACGAUGCGUAGCCGACCUGAGAGGGUGAUCGGCCACACUGGAACUGAGACACGGUCCAGACUCCUACGGGAGGCAGCAGUAGGGAAUCUUCCGCAAUGGGCGAAAGCUUGACGGAGCAACGCCGCGUGAGUGAUGAAGGUCUUCGGAUCGUAAAACUCUGUUAUUAGGGAAGAACAAAUGUGUAAGUAACUAUGCACGUCUUGACGGUACCUAAUCAGAAAGCCACGGCUAACUACGUG